RNAcentral lists this non-coding RNA (253 nucleotides) under uncultured bacterium. RNAcentral describes it as "partial 16S ribosomal RNA". It matches the Rfam family "Bacterial small subunit ribosomal RNA", at positions 524 to 776 of the family's 1533-position model. The record is from RNAcentral. RNAcentral also lists the same sequence under 1 other name.
UACGUAGGUGGCAAGCGUUGUCCGGAUUUAUUGGGUUUAAAGGGUGCGUAGGCGGCCCUAUAAGUCAGUGCUGAAAUAUCCCGGCUUAACCGGGAGGGUGGCAUUGAUACUGUAGGGCUUGAGUAAAGUUGAGGUUGGCGGAAUUGACGGUGUAGCGGUGAAAUGCUUAGAUAUCGUCAAGAACACCUAUUGCGAAGGCAGCUAACUAAGCUUUAACUGACGCUGAGGCACGAAAGUGUGGGGAUCAAACAGG